UCUCCGUAGGUGAACCUGCGGAGGGAUCAUUACCGAGUGAGGGCCCCCGGUCCGACCUCCAACCCUUUGUGAAUUGACCCUGUUGCCUCGGGGGACGCCGGCGCUCUCGGGCGCCGGGCCCCCGGUGGACCACCCAACCCUGCAUCGUUGCGUCUGAGUCGAAAUAUAAAUCAAUCAAAACUUUCAACAACGGAUCUCUUGGUUCUGGCAUCGAUGAAGAACGCAGC
This 227-nucleotide unclassified non-coding RNA is filed under the name uncultured fungus. RNAcentral's name for it is "sequence contains ITS1, 5.8S rRNA gene". The stretch from base 179 to 227 matches the Rfam family "5.8S ribosomal RNA", at positions 1 to 49 of the family's 154-position model. The record is from RNAcentral. Lineage: Eukaryota; Fungi.